CCCGACACCCAGUGUGACUGUGAACAAGACAAAUAUGAAUGCCACGUGUUCAACCCAGGGGGGAUACCCACAGCCAGUCGUCACAUGGACCAUCCAGGACGUCCUAUUGGCUCAGAACCGCACUCUGGACCCGUGGGAAGUACAGACCAAUAUUACUGUUGGUUCUGAAAGUGGACUGUACACCGUUUGGAGCCAAGUGAAUUUAACAGAAAAUCAGACGGUGACCUGCCAUAUCUUCAACCCCGUUCUGAGAGAGACUGUGAGCAACACAACCAUCGUCAGCCCCAGUCAGAGCAUUAACACAGACCCUGCAGGUGAAGUUCAGGAAGACUCUACUCCUGGCAUUAUUGGAGUUAUCAUUACAGUAUUGAUUCUGUUUUGCUUCGGGGGGAUUUAUUUUGUGUACAAAAAAUGUUGUGGAUCCAGCGGUGGAACCAUAGAAGUUGAAGGAAAUAACCAUCAAGGAAACGGUAGUGGUGAGACAGAGUUUUUGGCCAGGUGUAGGCAGGCACCAGACAAUCUAGAGGCAGACUGAUGGGACAUUUCUUUCUAUACGGGUCCAUAUUUUGGACAUAUCAGUGUACUGUAUCCCAACGGAGUCUACCUCUUCUGUUGGAAGUAUUUUAAUGUUUUUCCCUAUUAUUAGCCAGUUAUUAGAAAAUAUUUUUAAAUACUGUCACAGGUUUGGUGUCAUCCUUGGGUGUACUCCCUGAGGUUGCCACUGGAGGGCACCCUUAUGUUGUUUCUUGUGUCCAGGUGAUCCUGAUUGGUCUUAUUGGGUUCACCUGUUGAAUGACUAUUUAGGUUCCUCUGUGGACUGUGCUGGUUGCUUAGGUCUCUUGUUUCGUUUAGUGUACUCGUAUGCUAUUGCUUUGUUGUUUUGCUGUGAAGACUGAAGUUCUGGAUUUACAUUUACCUCUGCCUGCUGUGUUUCUCUGCGCCUGCGUCCGAGUUCGUACUAGCACUAAUGUCACAAAUACUUAUUUCCAAACACAUUGUAUUCAAAAUACAUUCCAAUUUUAAACUACAUCUGUUUUUAAAUUAAAAAAAAUCCCAAAAUGUUCUUCUAAAUGUUUUUGAAAAUAAGCGAAAUACCCUAAAUAGUAUUUUAAAUAAAGUCUGAUAGUCAGUGGACAAACCUAUCUAGUGGGAACCAAGACAUCUGACGUUGAAAAUGCAUUUGUGUUUUAUAUUUGACUUGAAUAUAUGAAGAACACUGAAGUUAAAUGUUUUAUCUAAAAUUGACCAGUAAGUGAGACCUGAACCUUUAACUAGCCACCUCAUUCUCUCUGCAUGCCUUUGUGUAACAAGCUACUGUAGAGGUUCUGAAGCUUGUGCUCUGAUCAAGGACUAGAUUCAAUCCGGACCAACAUUUUAAACAUUUUUACAUUUUGGAUUGAGCCCCAUAUGCAGCCUUUAAAUUUCACUAGUGCGGGUCCAGAUUGAAUCCAGGCCUAAAACCAUGUAAUCCUCAGCACACUGGUACAGUUGUGUUCUCUCAGACUGACUAGAGGAGACAUUUUCACUCUGCUAAACAGACCUCACUGUGUUCAACAUUAGGGACAGCUGUUACAGAACUGUAACCAGGCCUAUCUGUUACUUUAUGACAAGAUUUUGAUUUGUGGAGGCUAAUUUCUGCAUUACCAAAUGAGGAGAGUUAGAAACUUCACAUACCAGUCAGAGUUAUACUUAAACGACAUCUUUAAUAAUUAGAGCUUUGCAAAAGCCCUUUGACUUUCAAUGAUGCGUCAUCUCUAAUGAACCAAUGAAAAGUGUCAAGACAAAAGUACAAAGAUCUUUUAUAGCCAAGAUACACCCCUCUCAACGUACAUGACGAACCACAGAUACAUAGAAUGGGUCACAAGGUUAAGUUAUGUAUGAAAGAUAUCUAUAAAACAGCAGAUGGCAACUGCUGUGUCAACAGUUUUCAUUGUAUAGACUAGUGUCUGGUCCUCCUACUCCAAACUUGAACCGUCUCUCCCAUUAGCUAGAUACUCCCAUCUCAAGUAAACCCCCUCUUGACUCCACUCCUGGACAAGCUCACUGAGGGGAGCGAGCCUCAAGGUCAUACACUAUCCCAAGAUAAGUGCAACA
Molecule: non-coding RNA, 2094 nt
Organism: Salmo salar (Atlantic salmon)
Lineage: Eukaryota; Metazoa; Chordata; Actinopteri; Salmoniformes; Salmonidae
Source: RefSeq, a predicted model, not a curated record